UAUUUGCGCUGUUGAGAAUCCUCAAGGAUCAACUGCAUAUUAGUGAAUUUAGAAGAAUGAAUAAAGCCUUUCAACGAGCCCAUUCUGUCAGUUAGGUGGUCCAGACAGCAGGAUGGGAUGAAGGCAGGACUAAGCCUGACUGGGCUACAGAAAUGGGCGGAGCCUCCAAACAGUCUCUUGGCAACCGGAUCUGGUCGCCAAACCGCCAAAGCGUGAGCUUCGAGCGCGUUGCCCUCUGGGAAUUGUAGUCUUUGGGCGGGUUCGUAGGAACUUCGAGACUGUAGACUUAGACACUGAGGACUACAGUUUCCGACGUCCACCACGAGGGCCCGAGGGUGGAAAAAGGCCCGAAAUCUCCGGGAUUCCUUGCUCGCCUGUGACAGCAGCUGCAGGAAGCAGGCAGGCGCAUCGUGGGGGCUGAGGCCUCUUAUUCUUGGAGGGGAGGACACUGGACACUUCCCCACGCAACUUCCAUCUGUGGCCCCCGAGUGUGUGCAUGGCGAAGUCCCCGGAGAACUCUACCCUGGAGGAGAUUCUGGGGCAGUAUCAACGUAGUCUCCGGGAACGUGCAAAUAGAAGCAUUCAUCAGUUGAAAUGUGCCCUGAGAGAAGGUGAUGUCACCGUUGGAGAAGAUAUGCUAGAUCCUUCUUUUAACACCAGUGUAGGAAAUGAGGAUGCUGAAAAUGCCUGGCGAGAACUACAACACAGCCACGCCGUUAAUCAACUCAAAGCUUUGUUGCGCCAACAAGCAGCUAAGGAAAGUGAGGCAUCUCUAAGAAGACAAGAAACAUCCCCUUCGAGGUCAUCAGAAUGUGAGGAAACCAGUAUGCCUACUGUGCACAAUCUUGUUCCUAUCAUCAAUGACCAGUCUCAGUACAUUUAUCAUUUAGAGGCAGAAGUCAAGUUCUGCAAGGAGGAACUCUCUGGAAUGAAAAAUAGGGUACAAGUAGUUGUGCUUGAAAAUGAAAGGCUCCAGCAAGAGCUGAAAUCUCGAGGACAAGAAGAAAUGAGGGAACAAACACUUCUGGAUGCAUCUGGAAACCUGCAGAAUUCUUGGAUUACAACAGGUGAAGACUCUAGGGUGGAUGAAGCUGCAAAGAGAUCAUUUUCAUGUGGCAAUGCCGAUACUAUCAAAGUUGCUUCUGCUGGUGAGGCUGAAAAAUGGAAACUAGAACUUGAGAGACUAAAACUUACUUAUGAGGAAAAGAGUGAAAUCCUGGAAUCUCAAUUGACGUUUUUGAGGAAAGACUUAGCUGAAUAUCAGAAAAACUGUGAAGAUCUUAAAGAGCGACUAAAGCAUAAAGAGUCUCUUCUUGCUGCUAAUAUUUCUAACCGUGUUGGUGGUCUUUGUUUGAAAUGUGCUCAGCAUGAAGCUGUUCUUACCCAAACCCAUAAUAACGUUCACAUACAAACCAUUGAAAGACUGACUAAAGAAAGAGAUGACUUAAUGUCUGCGCUAGUUUCCGUGAGGAACAGCUUGACAGAGGUGCAGCAAAGAGAGGCAAGUGCUUAUAAGCAGGUGAAACAAGCUGUGAAAAUGACUGAGGAAGCCAGUUUUGAAAAAACCAAGGCUUUGAUCCAAUGUGAACAGUUGAAGAAUGAGCUGGAGAGGCAGACAGACCGACUUGAGAAAGAACUUGCAUCUCAGCAAGAAAAAAGAGCCUUUGAGAAAGAGAUGUUGAAAAGAGAAAUAACAAAAGAAAGAGAAGACAUGGACUCAAAGAUGUUGACCCUAUCUCAGAAUAUUGCCCAACUGGAGGCUGAGGUGGAAAAGGUUACAAGAGAGAAGAUUUCAGCUGUUCAUCAACUCGAGGAAAUUCAAAACCAGCUUGCUUCCCGGGAAAUGGAUGUCACAAAGGUGUGUGAAGAAAUGCGCUAUCAAUUGAAUAAAACCAAAAUGGAGAAGGAUGAGGCCGAAAAGGAGCACAGAGAGUACAGAACAAAAACUAAAAGGGAUCUUGACAUUAAAGAUCAGGAAAUAGAGAAAUUGAGUUUAGAACUGAGUGAAAGCAAGCAGCGCUUGGAACAGCAGCAGGAGAAGGCAACCCGGGCCAGAGAGGAGUGCCUGAAACUGACAGAACUGCUGGGCGAAUCCGAGCACCAACUGCACCUCACCAGACUGGAAAAAGAUAGCAUUCAGCAGAGCUUUAGCAAUGAAGCAAAGGCCCAAGCCCUUCAGGCCCAGCAAAGAGAGCAGGAGCUGACACAGAAGAUACAGCAAAUGGAAGCCCAGCAUGACAAAACUGAAAAUGAACAGUAUUCAUUGCUGACCUCCCAGAAUUCGUUUUUGACAAAGUUGAAGGAAGAGUGCUGCUUGUUAGCCAAAAAACUGGAACAAAUCUCUCAGAAAAGCAGAUCUGAAAUAGCUCAGCUCAGUCAAGAAAAGAGGUAUACAUAUGACAAACUGGAAAAGUUACAGAGAAGAAAUGAUGAAUUAGAGGAGCAGUGUGUCCAGCAUGGGAGACUACAUGAGAUAAUGAAGCAAAGGCUGAAGCAGCUGGACAAGCACAGCCACGCCACGGCCCAGCAGCUGGUGCAGCUCCUCAACAAGCAGAACCAGCUUCUGCUGGAGAGACAGAGCCUAUCGGAAGAGGUGGGACAUCUGAGAUCCCAGAAGGUCCCGGGAGAAGCACAGGUCGGGCAGAGAUCCUGUGGGGCAGCGGCCAUGGAACGAUGUGCAGUCCUGUCACCCAGCUCCUCCGACGUGCCCAGUGGUGGAUAUGGUUUCAGCCAAGAUAGCUCUGUCCCAACAGACUGCUUGACUCCAUCCUCAGUGUUCAGUCUGGGAGAGAUGUCUUUGUAGUCCCAGUUUAGAAAACAGCAUCUGAAGCUGACUGAUGGGUGAUUAAUCAGUUGGCCCUAUGACUUUUGAGCAUUUUUGGCAGUGAAUUCACUUUCUAAUUUGAUUUAAACUUGUGUAUGGAUCCAGCAGACAUAUGUGAUUAUAUUCAAAAUCACGGACAUUAUCUCGCUACACCAAAGGAUUCAUAAAGAGAGCUGAAAACAAGCACAAGAAACAAAGGCAACAGAUGAUAACAAAGGGAGGAAAGGCCCAUUUGUGACCUGAAGGAAAGGGAGGGGGGAGCCUUCAGAAAUGUGAGCUCCAGGGUGCGCGGCUCAGCUCCCUUGAGUGCCUGCAAACCAAGCUGUAGGGUCACCCAGCAGAGACUUGGAGGUGUCCACAGAGUCUGUGGUGGGCCUUCCUUGAGCCCGGGGGGGCUUCACCCAGUUAAGUCGGCACUUUCAUGACGCUAGCUACCUGCAGGACAGAUGGUGCUUGAUAGAACAGCAAAUACACUGAAUAAAAUAAAUUAAAAAGCCUCCUCCUGAACCAAGAUUUUUUUGGAAAGAAUUCUAAAUAGAUGAAAACAAACAAUUUGAUUUCAACCAAAUUGUUGUUUUUUUGUUUUUAUCCUGAUUUUCACCCGAAUUGUCAGUCUCAAAAAUAAACACUGAUACAUUCCCAGAAAAUAUUUUUCAAAUAAAAACUGACUCUGUUAAAGUUUGCCCUGAUUCUUUCAAAACUGUGUACAAGACACUGUCAACCGAAGUGACUUGCAUAUUUUUUUAAAUAAACUUGAACAUAUGCAGCUAAAAUGUCAUUAACUCCCUGCUGCCUGAGUGUUGUAAAAGAAUGACGUAAGACCCCCUGGUGCCACAUUUCUAACAUAGGGGUCUUGUGACCCUCAGGGAAGCUUCCUCAAGCAACUCAAAUAGCAUAGUUUAACUUUUUCUUUUUUUCAACUGAAGGCCCUGUGUGUAAUUAAUAUUGAAAAGUGCAUACAGCUUUAUUGAAGCCAAACUUGCUCUUCUGCUAACAGUUCACUUUGUCCAAGAGUGAAUAAUUUCAGAAUAAGACUUAUGGAAGAAAAAUACAUUGAAUUUAACAUUGCUUCAGAUACAUUUGCUCCACUUAUUGCUUCCCGAGUCAGACAUUACAUUUUGCAAUAUAAAUUCACAAUCAAGAUUUUAAAGGGAGCUAAAUAUUUUAAUCCAAUUAGACAAGUGAACAAAACACUGAAUAUUACAUGUAGUGUAGAUAAGUGGUUCUUGCCUUUAAAAGACUGUAAUUCCGUCACAUUACAACCCCAAAUGUCAAUGUUGUCUUUAUUUUUAACGCUUUCAAACAUGAGGCAGCCAGAGGCUCCACUCUCUGCUGUUGGUGACACUGUCUGUCCUUUGGGAAAUUCUUAAAAAUCUAUUUACCAUGGAAACACGGUUCGUACAAAACACAGACCCCUGCCCAUGUGCAGGGGAAGUUUCUCGUGACUCAUGGGAUUCAAGAAAGCUGGAAGAUGACAAAGUCGGGAUCCCGCGGACGGUGGCAGGAUCCGUCGCAUGUGUUGGAGUGUGCUCUGGGGAAGAAAUGGCGAGCAGAUGCCAGCCACUGGCUAGUGGGUCCUCCCACCUGACCACUCCUGUCUGUGCAUGGGGUCCCCUGCCUUCCCCCCAUGUCUCAAGUCCCAAGUCCACAUCGAGGUGCUGUUUUCCAGGAAGCUAAGGAAUCACUGUCUUCACCUUCUUUCUGCAAGAAAGUCUGUCCUGCCUCUACCGGUGCCAUCUUCUGGCUUCUCUAGUUCUUUUCCUAUGUUGGAGCCCAGAGGCAGCAAACCCAGGCCCCAGAGUUCAGGGAAAAUGGAGCUUGAACUCUGACUGCCACAGAGCUUUCAUUGUCUGGGGCCCAGCCGGGCAGCCAUGGGGGAAGAAUAAAAUGAGGGUCUGCGGCGACCUUGCUGUGAACUCCUGCCCAUUUGGCAGCUGCGCCAGCCGGAGGGGAAGGCGGUUCAGCCAGAGCUUCGGUGACUUGUGCAGGGCAGAGGCAGGCCCCUCUUGACCUGGAGUCUGCAACCGUGAGCCCUGUGUUGGCGGAGAACUGCCUUCUAACAGUUACCCAGCAUGCCACAAUCUGAUUGCUGACCUGGAUGAAACAGAGUGAAAUAAAUGAUAUACAAAGAGAUAUUUACAUUCAUCUGAUUUGUACGUAAUAUGCCACAAUGCACCGCGACCUUCCCAGUGGACCCCACCUCAGACUGCGGUGGGCUGCAUCGUCAUCGCCACAUUCGUUGCCAAGCGGUCCCUGCAGGAUGGACGGGCUGGAGCUGAAGUCUGACACUAGAUGAGGAGACCUCCUGGUGUAUGUUUUCAGAAAAGGCUUGAAGUUAUUAUGUUUUUAGAUCUGCUCAUUUGUAUGCCCUGUUACACAUACGAAUUUCAAUAAAUGAAUUUUUUGAAGACUCGAA
RNA transcript from Bubalus bubalis (water buffalo), 5240 nucleotides. It is a transcript of the gene named SHH signaling and ciliogenesis regulator SDCCAG8, with no coding region annotated. The transcript is spliced from 20 exons. The record is from RefSeq and is a predicted model, not a curated record. Lineage: Eukaryota; Metazoa; Chordata; Mammalia; Artiodactyla; Bovidae.